Molecule: ribosomal RNA, 461 nt
Filed under: uncultured bacterium
Lineage: Bacteria
Description: partial 16S ribosomal RNA
Rfam family: Bacterial small subunit ribosomal RNA
Source: RNAcentral
CCUACGGGCGGCUGCAGUGAGGAAUAUUGGUCAAUGGGCGAGAGCCUGAACCAGCCAAGUCGCGUGAAGGAUGACGGCCCUACGGGUUGUAAACUUCUUUUGUCAGGGAGCAAUUGGGUCCACUCGUUGGCUUAGCGAGAGUACCUGAAGAAAAAGCAUCGGCUAACUCCGUGCCAGCAGCCGCGGUAAUACGGAGGAUGCGAGGGUUAUCCGGAUUUAUUGGGUUUAAAGGGAGCGUAGAUGGGUUGUUAAGGCAGUUGGGAAAGUUUGCGGCUCAACCGUAAAAUUGCAAUUGGUACUGGCAGUCUUGAGUACAGUUGAGGUAGGCGGAAUUCGUGGUGUAGCGGUGAAAUGCUUAGAUAUCACGAAGAACUCCGAUUGCGAAGGCAGCUUACUAAACUGCCACUGACAUUGAUGCUCGAAAGUGUGGGUAUCAAACAGGAGUAGAUACCCUGGUAGUC